RNAcentral lists this ribosomal RNA (449 nucleotides) under uncultured bacterium. RNAcentral describes it as "partial 16S ribosomal RNA". It matches the Rfam family "Bacterial small subunit ribosomal RNA", at positions 29 to 523 of the family's 1533-position model. The record is from RNAcentral.
AACGAACGUUGGCGGCAUGCCUAACACAUGCAAGUCGAACGAGAUCUUCGGGUCUAGUGGCGCACGGGUGCGUAACGCGUGGGAAUCUGCCCUUUGGUUCGGAAUAACAGUUGGAAACGACUGCUAAUACCGGAUGGUGACGAAAGCCCAAAGAUUUAUCGCCAGAGGAUGAGCCCGCGUAGGAUUAGCUAGUUGGUGUGGUAAAGGCGCACCAAGGCGACGAUCCUUAGCUGGUCUGAGGGGAUGAUCAGCCACACUGGGACUGAGACACGGCCCAGACUCCUACGGGAGGCAGCAGUGGGGAAUAUUGGACAAUGGGCGAAAGCCUGAUCCAGCAAUGCCGCGUGAGUGAUGAAGGCCUUAGGGUUGUAAAGCUCUUUUACCCGGGAUGAUAAUGACAGUACCGGGAGAAUAAGCUCCGGCUAACUCCGUGCCAGCCGCCGCCGUAA